RNAcentral lists this ribosomal RNA (128 nucleotides) under Diaphorina citri (Asian citrus psyllid). The record is from RNAcentral. Lineage: Eukaryota; Metazoa; Arthropoda; Insecta; Hemiptera; Psyllidae.
GCCAGCAGUGAUGGCAAGUUGAAUGCACCAGUUGAACCAGUUCCAAAUAGAUCACUGAAGUUAAGCAACGUUGCGCGGUUAGGAAUGUUAGGAUGGAUGACCAUCUGGUCAGUCGAGUGCUGCUGGCU